RNAcentral lists this unclassified non-coding RNA (8764 nucleotides) under Zea mays. RNAcentral describes it as "misc RNA Zm00001eb321210". Lineage: Eukaryota; Viridiplantae; Streptophyta; Magnoliopsida; Poales; Poaceae. The record is from RNAcentral.
GAGAGUUAUAUGUUUACUUUUACACCAUUUCAGCAUUGUACCCUAUUUUCAUGCCACCAUGGAAGGGCUUCGUAUUGGAGCACCAAUUGUGCAGGUUUAUCAUGAGAAAUCGUUUAUCUUACCUGAUGUUUCAAGGGUGCUUGCUUGCCUUUAUGAGAAGGAUGUCAAGUUUGAGACUCACACAGCCUCAUACAGGAGCCUACUCAGAUUGCAGGCAUCAUCUCAUGCUCCAGUUCCAUUCUAUGAUGGCCCUACUUUUCUAGAAGAAUCCAGAGAAAUCUGCCGUUAUAUAGCAGAAAAGUAUGAAAAUCAAGGAUAUUCAUUCCUCCUUGGAAAGGAUGCCCUUGAGAGGGCUUCAGUUGAACAAUGGCUCCACAACGAGGAGCAUGCUUUCAACCCUCCGAGCCGGGCCUUGUUCUGUCAUUUGGCCUUUCCCUUGGGUGAAGAAGAUGAUGAUAUUGAUGUUCAUACAAGGAAGCUAGAAGAGGUUCUGGAAGUUUAUGAGCAAAGGCUCAGUGACAGCGAAUUCCUUGUUGGAAACAAGUUCACUCUUGCCGACCUUGUUCACCUGCCAAAUUCCCACUAUAUCAAAGCAUCUAACAAGUUUCUUUACCUUUAUGAUUCGAGGAAAAAUGUAAGGAGGUGGUGGGAUGCUAUUUCUGACCGGAGUUCUUGGAAGGAAGUGCUGAGGUAUAUGAAGAACGUGGAGGAGAAGAACAAACAAGAAGAACUCAAGAAGCAGCAGCAGCAGCAGGAAGAGGCUCCUUCCACCGACCCAAUUCGGGUAGACUCGAGAAAGCAGAGCAGAACAGAGCCUCGGACAAUAUUGGUUCCUCCUGCUGAUAAUGAGUCAUCAGCUUCCAUAGUUCCUCGAACAAAGAAGCCUCUUCCUGGUGAUCACUUAGUGUCUACUCAACAAGGAAAAUCAAGAAAAAAUGUGCAUCAGUACCCAUCACAAGAUUCAGAACUGGCAACCUCACAUUCUGUUCCUCAAGAACCAAUGAGCAUGGAAUUGGUUCAAGAACGAGAAAGGACGACUCGAAGACCCUACACUGAUCAGAGUCAAGAUGUCUUCAAAGAGGCAAAGGUUGCUAAGUCUACACCAUCUAGUGCAAAACCUAUGUACCCUCAACAACCUGCUCCUACUUCAGGGCAUGGAGAAGUGGAAGAUACUUGGGACAAAGGGGUGAAAGGUAGAGAAACUGUUCCUGACCGACAACAAAUGUUGCAAAAAUGGGCAGGUACAGCCAGAGAGCAAGUUUCUGAUCGUUGGAAAGCAAGUCCUCCAUCAAGACAGGCUGCAGCUGAAGAUGUUCGUGGUGCCACUGGUGAUACAACACAGUCUGCAGAUGUUCUUGACACUUCCAAGAAAUCUAGAGGUGCCUAUGAAGAAGCUAAAGGCCCUGGCUCUGUUAAGGAGGAGAAGACAUCCUCUAUUUACAAGAAGAAGCCUCUGGUGGCACAAGACAGUCAGGAGCAAGCUCAAACUAUCCCAGCUGGUGAGAAAACAGAUAGUUCUAUACAAAAGCAUCAACAAGCUUCGGAUGCCCCAAAUACUUUUGUUGAGAAAUUAAAUGCUUCAGAACCAGCAAGAGUAAAAACUCACAGUGACUUCAGUGCUGAACAGCCAUAUAGAAAAGACACCACUGAUGACCAGAAAGUGAUACCACCUCUUUCGACUAGAGAACUAACUUCCCAAGUCCAACCUCCCUCUAAACCAUCGUAUGAUGAGAAGCCAACACCAAUGAGUCAGCAAAAAUCUGAUAAGCAAAGAGUGGAACCUCCAAUACAAAUAGAAGCAGAAAUAUCUGGUGUUCAACAUGCUUCACCAUCAUUUCCAAGAGCUUCCAUGGAUGAUCGUGCCACUAUCGGUGAUAAGUUUGCCAUGCAGUCAAUUAUUGAUGAAAGAGUUGGAGAACCAACACAAAUGCAAACAUCAAGUCCAGAUGCUCAUCCUGCUUCAUUACCUACUAAGAGAGAAACUCCUGAAGGUCAUGAAAUUGGUGAUUUAGGGCUUGCCAGUACACCUGGUGGCCAAAUAUCAGAAGCAAAAAAAGUGGGAGAUGACCCAGACACAGUCCAUGGAGAUGUUUAUUAUGUCAAUUUGUCAACUCAAGAUGUGGGCAAGGAUGCCUUCAAAGAACCAACGGUCACUGACUCUUUACCAUCUAGUGCCCAACCGAUUCAGAAAUCUGCUAUUACUCCAUCAAGGCAAACACAAGUUGAAGAAGCUAGGGAUAAAAGCAUGCAAAGUAGAGAAACUAUUCCUGAACAACACAAAAUGGUGGAAAGGAAGACAGGUACACCUGGAGAGCAAUUAUCAGAACGCCAGAAGGAGAUUCGUCCAUCAAGACAGUCAGCAGCUGAGGAUGCUCCAAUAAGUGAUGCAAUACAGCCUCCAGACAUCCUUGACACUCCCAAGAAAUCUAGAGCCACCUUUGAAGAAUAUAUAGGUCCUGGAUCUACAUUGCCCAAAGCACAAAUUUUGGAUGCUCAAGAUUCUCAGGUCACCAAAGGAGAAUCUACAGUGCCAACUACUGACCAAAGGAAGGACUGGAAAUAUGAAAAAGAUGAUGAAACCAUCGUGACUGAAGAAAAGUCACUAUCAACAGAGCGAUCUAGGGAGAUGUUCCAGGAAAGUGCAUCUACUGCACCUAAGACACAUCUUACCGAUUCUGGGGGCUCUAAUGCACUGGAAAAAACAUCCUCUGUUUAUCAUAAGGGUCCUCUGGUUGCCCAAGACAGCCAGGAGGAAGCUCAAGUCAUCCCAGCUGAUGAGAAAGUAGAUGGUUCUGCAUCAGAGCAUCAUGAAUCCUCUGGUACUCCAUACAGUUACAAUGAAAAAUUAAGUGCUUCAGCACCAGCCAGAGGAGAUAUUCAUGAUGGUCACAGUGCAGAAGAGCAACAUAAAAAUUACACUGCCGAUGAUCAGAAAGUGGCUCCAUCUCUAUCAAACAAAGAACCAGCAUCCCAAGUGCAACCUGCCUCUGAACCAUUACAAAGAGCAGUUCCUGAUGGGGAUUUGCCUAGCAAAUCAUUCACCAUUGAUCAAUGGCAACGCAUGGCUGCUUCAUUACAUGGUGUAAUUAUGGAUUCUGCUGAUGAUGAGGCAGCCAUAUCUCUUAACAAUGAUCAAAAGUCAAGACCCAUGAAUCAAGAAGCAGCUCCAAGUUCACAGAGUGUCAAUCAGAUGGCCAAACAAUCUGGUGAGCAAAGGGUCGAACCACCUGUACCAAUUGUUGUAGAAGCAUCUGAUGUUAGACGUGCUGCACCAUCACUCCCAGAAGCUGCCAGAACUGAUGUUGCCACUAUCAGUGAUAAAUUUACUGAGCAGUCCAACAUUGAUGAAAGGGUGGGGAAACCAAAACAAAUGCAAGCACCAAUUACAUCUGCUCAUCCUGCUUCAAAAGGUACCUUGAGAAGAACUCCUGAUAGUCAUGAAGCUGGUGAGCUUCUCAGCACAUAUGAGGGUCAAAGAUUAGAGGCUGCAAAAGCUUCACAAGAUCCUGCCACAAUCCACGAAGAUGUUUAUGAUGCCAGUUUGUCAACUAAUGAUGUGGCUGUUGAUAAAAAGACAGCAACAGAUCAUGCUAUUGGUGAUGAGGUUGUCACAAGAUCUUUACAUGAUCAGCAGACACCGCGACCUGCAUCAACUCAAGCACAGCCAACUGCUGAGGCUCCACAAGACUCUGAUUCAUUCCAAUAUGUACGUACUGGUGACGUGGGAAAAACUGAAUUGGCAAAACCAACUGUAACUGAUCAAGAAGCAACAGCGCCUGCAGCUGGCCCAACAUCAGUCGAUCCCCAACGUGCUAACAUCAUACCAGCUGGAGUUGCCCAUUCUGAACAGAAAUCCACUCCACCAGAUAAAGGAUCAGCUCGUGUUGCACAACCUCCUACCCCUGUUGAACCAAUAAAGGAAGACGGUAAUGUUUCUGCAGCUAAUUAUACUAAUGAGCUGCAAAUGAGUUUUCAGCAACAGGCCAGAUCAUCUGCACCAACCACAAUAGGAAUUCCAGCCUCAGAUACCCAGAGUGUUAUAGGGAAAAUCCAGGUGGUAACUCCGGAUAAACAUGGCACUGAUGACUCAGGAAAACCAUUUGAUCUAAAUCAAGGACAUGUUUCACACGCAUCACAAGCAAUCCUUGGUCAAGAAGAACUGACAUCUCCACAAGGCGCAAGAGUUUUUCCAACGUCAGAUACCCAACAAAAUUUUGCUGCAUCAGAUGAAAAAUCUGAUAAGGCCUCAAAAUCAUUUGACUCUGCUGAACCAAGGGAAGAAGAUACAGAUGCUGCCACUGCUGACCAAACGACUGUACCACCGACAGAUGUUACUCGUCAGGUCACAAUCUCGACACCAGAUGCUAGUGACAGUGUAUCAAGGGAUCAGGAAUCCUCUCCUGACGAUAGUCAGACCAGAAAUUUGGGGAGCCCACUUAUUGCUAGUCAAGAAGAAGCCUCUCGUGCCGGAGGUGAAGGAUCUACUCCUGAAGUGCAUAGUACCAUUGUAGAUGAGAAGAAGACACUUCCAUCUAGCCAAGCACAAUCUUCAAGCACUGGGCCUGAUUCAAUACAAAUUGGUGGUGAUGCUCGUCUUAGUGAUGCUGGUGUGCCAGCCACAAGCUCUAUAGAGAAGCAAGAGGCAGAACCUCCUGCAGAAACACAAGCACCAACUUCUAAGGGUCUACAAGACUCUGGAAGUAUCGAGUCACCAAGACAAGCCUUAACUGAUCAAACCGUGGCACCUGCGAUGAACUCAGUGGCACCAUCCGAUUCUCCAGAAGGUCCAAAUUCUUCUCGAUCUGUACAGACCCCUUAUCAACAAGCCAUUACAAAAGGAGACACUGUUGUUACUGCAGCUGAUCAAGCCGAGAACAUGCAAACAAUAACUUAUCAACAAGCCAUUACACCUGUUCCAUACACAGCUAAACCUUCAUUCCCAGGUGCUCAGGAUGCAUCAAGGCAGGAAACUAUUCCUGAUGAGGGGCCAAUGGAAAAUUAUUCUCCUAAACCUGGAGCACAGACACAGCCACCUGCAGCAACUCUAGAUGUAUCACCCUAUGCCUCGAGCAAGGUUAAAUCAACUGGGCAAGGAGCCAAGCCACCAACAGGGCACCAAGCAUCUUCUCCAGAAACUCAGCUUGGUUCCUCACAACCAGGCGAAGAUGCCCCAGCAGUACAAAAAAUUGCUGCAUCAGAUGAAAAAUCUGCCACGGCCUCAAAACCAUUUGACUCUGCUGAACCAAGGGAAGAAGAUACUGAUGCUGCCACUGCUGACCAAAUGACUGUACCACCGACAAAUGUUACUCGUCAGGUCACAAGCUCAACACCAGAUGUUGGUGACACUUUAUCAAGAGAUAAGGAAUCAUCUCCUGAUGAUGAUCAGAUCAGAAAUUUGGGGAGCCCACUUAUUGCUAGCCAAGAAGAAGCCUCUCGUGCUGGAGGUGAAGGAUCUACUCCUAAGGUGCAUAGUGCCAUUGUAGAUGAAGAGAGAACACUUCCAUCUAGGCAUGAUGCACAAACUUCAAGCACUGAGACUGAUUCAACACAAAUUGAUGGUGAUGCUCGUCUUAGUGGUGUUGGUAUGCCAGCCACAAGCUCUAUGGAGAAACAAGAGGCAGAACCUCCUACAGAAACACAAGAGCCAACUUCUAAGGGUCUACAAGACUCUAGAAAUAUUGAGUCACCAAGACAAGCCUCAACUUAUAAAACCGUGACACCUGCGAUGAACUCAGCAGCACCAUCCGAUGCUCUAGAAGGUCCAAAUUCUUCUCGAUCUGUACAGACCCCUUUAUCUACUGGACCAACAAAAGGAGACACUGUUGUUAGUGCUGCUGAUCAAGCUAAGGACAUGCACACGAUACCUUAUCAACAAGACAUUACACCUAGUUCAAACACAGGUAAACCUCCAUUCCAAGGUGCUCAGGAUGCAUCAAGGCAGGAAAUUAUUCCUGAUGAUGGGCCAGUGGGAAAUUAUUCUCCUAAACCUGGAGCACAGACACAGCCGCCUGCAGCAAUUCUAGAUGUAUCACCAUAUGCCUUGAGCAAGGCUAAAUCAACUGGGCAAGGAGCCAAGACACCAACAGGGCACCAAGCAUCUUCUCCGGGAACUCAGCUUGGUUCCUCACAAACACAAGGCAAGGAUACCCCAGAAGAACAAAAUAUUGCUGCAUCAGAUGAAAAUUCUGCCAACACCUCAAAAUCAUUUGACUCUGCUGAACCAAGGGGGGAAGAUAUUGAUGCUGCUACUGCUGAUCAAACAACUGUACCACCGGCAAAUGUUACUCGUCAGGUCAUAAGCUCAACACCAGAUGCUAGUAAAACUUUAGUAAGAGAUUUGGAAUCCUCUCGUGAUAAUGGCCAAAUCAGAAAUUUGGGAAGCCCACUUAUUGCUAGCCAAGAAGCAGCCUCCCGUGCUGGGCAUACUUCUGAUGAUGGAUCUACUCCUGAAGUGCAUAGUACCAUUGUAGAUGAGAAGAAGACACUUCCAUCUAGCCAAGAAAAAUCUUCAAGCACUGGGCCUAAUUCAACACAAAUUGGUGGUGAUGCUCGUGUGCUAGCCACAAGCUCUAUAGAGAAGCAAGAGGCAGAACCUCCUGCAGGAACACAAGCACCAGCUUCUAAGGGUCUACAAGACUCUGGAAAUAUCAAGUCACCAAGACAAGCCUUAACUGAUCAAAUCGUGACACCUGCGAAGAACUCAGCGGCACCAUCUGAUGCUCUAGAAGGUCCAAAUUCUUCUCGAUCCGUACAGACCCCUUUAUCUACUGGACCAACAAAAGGAGACACUGUUGUUACUGCUGCUGACGAAGCUAAGGACAUGGAAACAAUAACUUACCAACAAGCCAUUACACCUGUUUCCGACACAGCUAAACCUCCAUUCCCAGGUGCUCAGGAUGCUUCAAGGCAUGGAAGUGUUCCUGAUGAUGAGCCAGUGGGAAAUUAUUCUCCUAAACAGACACAGCCACCUGCAGAAAUUCUAGAUGUAUCACCGUAUUCCUUGAGCAAGGCUAAAUCAACUGGCCAAGGAGCCAAGACACCAACAGGGCACCAAGCAUCUUCUCCGGAAACUCAGCUUGGUUCCUCACAAACACAAGGCGAAGCUGCCCCAGCAGAACAAAAAUUUGCUGCAUCAGAUGAAAAAUCCGCCAAGGCCUCAAAAUCAUUUGACUCUGCUGAACCAAGGGAAGAUACAGAUGCUGCCACUACUGACCAAACGAUUGUACCACCGACAAAUGUUACUCAGGUCACAAGCUCAACACCAGAUGCUAGUGAUACUUUAUCAAGAGUUCAGGAAUCCUCUCCUCACGAUGGUCAGAUCAGAAAUUUGGGGAACCCACUUAUUGCUAGUCAAGAAGAAGCCUCUCGAGCGGGAGGUGAAGGAUCUCUUGAAGUGCAUAGUAACAUUGUAGAUGAGAAGAAGACACUUCCAUCUAGCCAAGCACAAUCUUCAAGCACCGGAUCUGAUUCAACACAGAUGGGUGGUGAUGCUGGUCUUAGUGAUGCUGGUGUGCCAGCCACAAGCUCUAUAGAGAAGCAAGAGGCAGAACCUCCUGCAAGAACACAAGCACCAACUUCGAAGGGUCUACAAGACAUUGGAAAUAUUGAGUCACAAGGACAAGCCUUAACUGAUCAAACCGUGGCACCUAAGAUGAACUCAGCAGCAGCAUCUGAUGCUCCAGAAGGUACUGAACUAGGUCCAAAUUCUUCUCGAUCCGUACAAACUCCUUUUUCUACUGAGCCAGCAGAAGGAGAAACAAAUUCAACCAAUGAAGAAUCCAAGUCGCAACAGAAAGUUGGCCAGUUUGGUACUCAAUCAUUUAAAGAUAACAACAAAGAAGCUGAUGGAACAGUAAGGUCUAAUAUAUCGAGAUCAACUGAGGAACUCCAAGAACCACCUUCGAGGCCUAAGGGAGAAUCAAGUGAAGAACCAGAGAACCAACAACUGGCUGACCAAGCUAUUGUUAAACCACUAGAGGGUAAUGAGCAGCAAGCUGAACAGACAAAACCACAUGAGACUGCAAUUGCUGAGGAUUCGGAAAAUACCAAUCUGAAGAACAACAGAAUAUCACAAGUGGAAACUUUAGAUUCAUCAGGAAAGCAAGCCUCAGUAUUUCAGCAGCUAGGAAAGAACACAAAAGAUGCCCUCAACUCAACUGAGGAUGCACCAGGUGAUGGAAAAGCAGUUAGUAAAUCCGAGCACAGCUCGAGAUCUGAAGAAUCCAAGGUGCAGCUACAGUCUGAAGACAAGGCACGAGUUCCUGGAACUGAUGCACCAAGCUUAGAAACUGGGCAUCCUAGCAACGGAGGCCUUCAAGCAAAUAGCUAUCAGGAUAACAGUAGCCAAUCUCAGGAAGAAGCUUCAAACAAAUCUGUCGAGCAAUCUUCUGGUAUUCGGAACAAAGACAAUGACUCCAGCAGAUUGGAUGACUCGACCGGCUCCACCAAGACCGAGAGUUGAAAAACUAAGCCCUGGUAAUUGAUAAACCUUUGUGCUAUGGUUCAUCGACCAACACAUUAUGUGAGCAAGUGUUUUGCGAAUUCAUCGCUUUUCAAUUUUUACCCUUUUUUCUCAUUUGCUUAUCCGUUGUAAGUCUAAUAAGGUCAGCUCUGCUGUCAUCGUUGGGUUAUGCCCCCUGUAUUCUUGUGUUGUUCUUGUCCAAGUACAUUUUUACCUUUGAACAAUGAGUGAGAAUGCAAUGAUGUCGCCAUUCCUGUAUAUUAUCACUUACAUGUUUUUACAACAACAACCCAGCCUUCUAGA